Molecule: long non-coding RNA, 839 nt
Filed under: Androctonus crassicauda
Lineage: Eukaryota; Metazoa; Arthropoda; Arachnida; Scorpiones; Buthidae
Source: RNAcentral
GCAAAUCAUAGACAGAAUAAAUUAAAUAUUUUUAAAAAUUUAUAUUUUACUUAUAUAUGAUGUGAAAAUUGAAAUAAAAAUUUUGAAAUAUUAAAUAAAAUCAGUCAAUUGAUUACAAUUCUGAUAAAAAUGAUGGAUUAUGAACAUUUUUUCAAAGUCAUCAAUUAAAUGCAUAUUAAUUUAAAAAUUUCACAAUUUCAGGCUGUUUCUACCUUUGAGUACUUUGUCUGGUAAUAAGUCAUGGCAUGAUGUGUUUGUGACUCAGUCUCAGCUUAAGGUGAAAUGGACUAUAAUGGCUGAAAGUUGCCAGAAACAGCUGACACAGAUCAGGUUUAGUAAUAGAAGAGAGUUCUCCACUGUUACUUUGCAUGGAAGUAACACUAGUUCCUAUCAUAGAUUCAUCAGAACUAGUUCCAUGAUAAGGUGGAGAAAUUCUGAAGAAAAAGCAUAUAACUUAGAGUUACAUCCAGAUUUAAUAAUAAUUUUAAAAUUUAACAAGUUAAAAGGUUGAAGAAGGAAUGAAAACAAUCAGCUUCUGAUUAUCUUCCAGUAACAAAUUGAAGGCUAAAUAUGACAAGCUUUGCCUGGUAUCUUGAAGAAAUUAUUCAUGACAUUUUAUAUUUUUAUUACCUCAAUACUAUUCAACUAUCAGCAGAAUAUCUUACACCAUAAUUUAGUUAAGAAAUAUCUCCUUUUGCUAGAGGAAGUAGUUCAAAAUUUGAGCUCCCAAUCUAUGUGCCUCCUUCAUGACAAAGACCUGGAGUUUGAAAUUUUGGAUGGGUUAUUUAUUGGCAGUUUUUAAAUAUUUUUGCUAUUCAAAUUUUUAUUUACAAAAUUAC